Molecule: ribosomal RNA, 326 nt
Filed under: uncultured bacterium
Lineage: Bacteria
Description: bacterial SSU rRNA
Rfam family: Bacterial small subunit ribosomal RNA
Source: RNAcentral
GAUAAGGCAUCUUAUUAAUAUUAAAGCUUCGGCACUUGAUGAUGGGUGUGCGGCUGAUUAGAUAGUUGGCGGGGUAACGGCCCACCAAGUCUACGAUCAGUAGCUGAUGUGAGAGCAUGAUCAGCCACACGGGCACUGAGACACGGGCCCGACUCCUACGGGAGGCAGCAGUAAGGAAUAUUGGACAAUGGACGAAAGUCUGAUCCAGCCAUGCCGCGUGAAGGAUUAAGGUCCUCUGGAUUGUAAACUUCUUUUAUAUGGGACGAAAAAAGGGCAUUCUUGUUCACUUGACGGUACCAUAUGAAUAAGCACCGGCUAACUCCGUG